GUAGGUGGCAAGCGUUAUCCGGAAUUAUUGGGCGUAAAGAGGGAGCAGGCGGCAGCAAGGGUCUGUGGUGAAAGCCUGAAGCUUAACUUCAGUAAGCCAUAGAAACCAGGCAGCUAGAGUGCAGGAGAGGAUCGUGGAAUUCCAUGUGUAGCGGUGAAAUGCGUAGAUAUAUGGAGGAACACCAGUGGCGAAGGCGACGAUCUGGCCUGCAACUGACGCUCAGUCCCGAAAGCGUGGGGAGCAAAUAGGAUUAGAUACCCUAGUAGUCCACGCCGUAAACGAUGAGUACUAAGUGUUGGAUGUCAAAGUUCAGUGCUGCAGUUAACGCAAUAAGUACUCCGCCUGAGUAGUACGUUCGCAAGAAUGAAACUCAAAGGAAUUGACGG
This 386-nucleotide ribosomal RNA is filed under the name uncultured bacterium. RNAcentral's name for it is "bacterial SSU rRNA". It matches the Rfam family "Bacterial small subunit ribosomal RNA", at positions 527 to 916 of the family's 1533-position model. The record is from RNAcentral.